RNAcentral lists this ribosomal RNA (301 nucleotides) under uncultured bacterium. RNAcentral's name for it is "partial 16S ribosomal RNA". It matches the Rfam family "Bacterial small subunit ribosomal RNA", at positions 509 to 807 of the family's 1533-position model. The record is from RNAcentral.
CAGCCGCCGCGGUAACACGGAGGGUGCAAGCGUUAAUCGGAAUUACUGGGCGUAAAGCGCACGCAGGCGGUCUGUCAAGUCAGAUGUAAAAUCCCCGGGCUUAACCUGGGAACUGCAUUUGAAACUGGCAGGCUAGAGUCUUGUAGAGGGGGGUAGAAUUCCAGGUGUAGCGGUGAAAUGCGUAGAGAUCUGGAGGAAUACCGGUGGCGAAGGCGGCCCCCUGGACAAAGACUGACGCUCAGGUGCGAAAGCGUGGGGAGCAAACAGGAUUAGAUACCCGGGUAGUCCCUGUCUCUUAUAC